RNAcentral lists this transfer RNA (87 nucleotides) under Bacteroidaceae bacterium. RNAcentral describes it as "tRNA-Ser". It matches the Rfam family "tRNA". Rfam says of the family: Transfer RNA (tRNA) molecules are approximately 80 nucleotides in length. Their secondary structure includes four short double-helical elements and three loops (D, anti-codon, and T loops). Lineage: Bacteria; Pseudomonadati; Bacteroidota; Bacteroidia; Bacteroidales; Bacteroidaceae. The record is from RNAcentral.
GGAGAGAUGCCAGAGAGGUCGAAUGGACCGCACUCGAAAUGCGGCGUACGGGCGACUGUACCCUGGGUUCGAAUCCCAGUCUCUCCG